ACUAAGGAGCAUCAAUUCCUACAAGUUUUACUCCAUUUGAAAUAUGGCAUCUAUAAAUCUAUAUGGUACUCUAAUGAGGCGUGAAGAAAGGAAAACUCAUGACUACUGUAAAGCCUAUGUAAUAAAACUGCCCAGAUUUAAGAUCACAGAUGUAUUCCAAAUAUCUCAACGUGACCAUUGCCCUUGCAGGCUCUUGAUCUGCUCAGGGACUCCAACCAUUCCAUCAUCUGCACGGCUUUUGAGACCAUGGAAUAGCCCUGGGGGAUGAAAAUUUGGGCGUGAGUCGACAUUAUGAGCUGGCAGCUCAGAAGGCCCAUGGUAUCCUGGGCUGCACCUUGGACUGUGAGGUCACAGAGCCGCUCUGUGUCACACCCUGGUGUGUAGUCCUGUGCACGGACACCGCUCCGGCAGUGCUGGCAGCGUUAGCAGCGGCGGCAGCAGCAUCUGCAGCGGCAGCAGCAUUUGCAGCGGCAGCAGCAGAAGCGCCAGCAUCUACAGCAGCGGCGGCAGUGGCCAAAGCAGCAGCAGCAUUUGCAGCAGCAGCGGUCACAGCAGCAGCAUCAUUUACUGUAGCAGCGGCAGUGGUCACAGCAGCAGCAAUUAUUUGCAGCAGCUGCAGUGGCCACAGCAGCAGCAAUAUUUGUGGCAGAACUAGUGGCAGAGCCAAGAUGAAGGGGUGGGGGGUCACCUCACUCCUUAUCCUCCUCCUCCUGGUUCUGCAAGCCCAGGAGGUCGGGGCAGCGCCGUGCAGACAACGGGAAACUGAUGUGCCUGUAGCCGAUGGCCUCGCCACUCCACAGCCGGCUCUUGUCCAGAAGCAUCGCGGCAAUCCCUCAGACACGGCUGGACGCAAGGGAUUUCUAGGGUACCAACUGGCUUCCGGAACUGACACUCAGGGCCGUCUCAUGGGUGCGUCGUGGCUUUUAUCCUCUUUGGGGAGCUCCCUGCUCAAAGCUGUUCAGUGAUGAUGGUAUGCAUCAAAGUGUGUGAUGGAAACUUCUUGUGGGUGU
This is a long non-coding RNA of Columba livia (rock pigeon), 1010 nucleotides long. RefSeq lists it as uncharacterized. The transcript is spliced from 3 exons. Lineage: Eukaryota; Metazoa; Chordata; Aves; Columbiformes; Columbidae. The record is from RefSeq and is a predicted model, not a curated record.